GACGAACGCUGGCGGCGUGCUUAACACAUGCCAGUCGAACGGAAAGGCCCCCUUGUGGGGUACUCGAGUGGCGAACGGGUGAGUAACACGUGAGUAACCUACCCUUGACUUUGGGAUAACUUCAGGAAACUGGGGCUAAUACCGGAUAGGAGCUCCUGCUGCAUGGUGGGGGUUGGAAAGUUUUGGCGGUUGGGGAUGGACUCGCGGCUUAUCAGCUUGUUGGUGGGGUAGUGGCUCACCAAGGCUUUGACGGGUAGCCGGCCUGAGAGGGUGACCGGCCACAUUGGGACUGAGAUACGGCCCAGACUCCUACGGGAAGCAGCAGUGGGGAAUAUUGCACAAUGGGCGGAAGCCUGAUGCAGCAACGCCGCGUGCGGGAUGACGGCCUUCGGGUUGUAAACCGCUUUCGCCUGUGACGAAGCGUGAGUGACGGUAAUGGGUAAAGAAGCACCGGCUAACUACGUG
Molecule: ribosomal RNA, 465 nt
Filed under: uncultured bacterium
Lineage: Bacteria
Description: partial 16S ribosomal RNA
Rfam family: Bacterial small subunit ribosomal RNA
Source: RNAcentral